RNAcentral lists this non-coding RNA (46 nucleotides) under Schistosoma mansoni. The record is from RNAcentral. Lineage: Eukaryota; Metazoa; Platyhelminthes; Trematoda; Strigeidida; Schistosomatidae.
UUACUGCUGAGGAGUCCCAUACUAGGACGAAACGGCAGUCCAGUGC